RNAcentral lists this ribosomal RNA (468 nucleotides) under uncultured bacterium. RNAcentral describes it as "partial 16S ribosomal RNA". It matches the Rfam family "Bacterial small subunit ribosomal RNA", at positions 28 to 507 of the family's 1533-position model. The record is from RNAcentral.
GACGAACGCUGGCGGCGUGCUUAACACAUGCAAGUCGAACGGAAAGGCCCUGCUUUUGUGGGGUGCUCGAGUGGCGAACGGGUGAGUAACACGUGAGUAACCUGCCCUUGACUUUGGGAUAACUUCAGGAAACUGGGGCUAAUACCGGAUAGGAGCUCCUGCUGCAUGGUGGGGGUUGGAAAGUUUCGGCGGUUGGGGAUGGACUCGCGGCUUAUCAGCUUGUUGGUGGGGUAGUGGCUUACCAAGGCUUUGACGGGUAGCCGGCCGGAGAGGGUGACCGGCCACAUUGGGACUGAGAUACGGCCCAGACUCCUACGGGAGGCAGCAGGGGGGAAUAUUGCACAAUGGGCGGAAGCCUGAUGCAGCAACGCCGCGUGCGGGAUGACGGCCUUCGGGUUGUAAACCGCUUUCGCCUGUGACGAAGCGUGAGUGACGGUAAUGGGUAAAGAAGCACCGGCUAACUACGUG